CUGAGAUGGGUGUGAGUGAAAGCAGUGUGCAGAGGAGCCAGAAGAGAAAGAGAAAGCUACAAAAAUGUCAUCCGUUGGUGGGAAUUGAGACUGGAUUUCAGUGGAGAGCUGUUGUCUUCUGCUCUGGAUCACAUGAAGAAAACUCUUCUUCACCAAAUCCAACUCAGAAGUUCUCCGUGAUAAAAAAUAGGAUGGUUUCUUUGCAUCAGCCUUCUACACCAGAAAUCUCUUGUGUCAUCGGCUCAAGCUGUUCAUGGGAGACGUCCACAGACAGUUUUGGAAAGCCAGACUGGGUGUUAUCUUCCAUUGGUGUCCUGGCAUCGCAGGAGAGGCAGCA
RNAcentral lists this long non-coding RNA (337 nucleotides) under Serinus canaria (Common canary). RNAcentral describes it as "lncRNA (ENSSCAG00000001601.1)". Lineage: Eukaryota; Metazoa; Chordata; Aves; Passeriformes; Fringillidae. The record is from RNAcentral.